UCCUCGCCAGUCACAGCCCCCAGCGAUCACCGGCUCUGCCCCCGGCUUGCACACCUGCCCUCCAGCUCCGCACGCAGGGAGUGCGGGUGGCACGUCCCAGCCGCAGCAGAGACGCAUGCGGCGGUUCUGGCUGGGGCAGAGCUAAUUGCCUGUGCCACACCGGGGGUCUGUGCUGACAGCAGCGCUGCUAACACCGGGAUGCUUCGGUCCCUGCUGAGCAGCACUCCACAGCAUCGGGGGCUCCUCUGCUCCUCGCCCCGUCCCGCCAGCGAGCAGACGGACACGGGAAACAGGAGCUUCGUGUUCCGGACCAGUGGUCACCAGGGCCCAGACGCUGCUUCAUCCAGCAAAAGCUGCCCCGUGAGUGGAUGCCCUGGUGUGCAGUACACAUCUGUUACAUGGCGGCACGAUCGGACCUUCCGAAACUCCCUGUUCGGAAAAGCUCUGGUAGUGUCUCACAGGCACGAUUAACUACACGUGAAAAUCUUGUUGGUGUUUUUAUGCACAGAUUUCUUCAAAGCAAGCACAGAGACAACAAGCAAUUGUCUAUUAUUCACUUGCCAAAGCUCUGUGAUUAUUUUCCGCAUGAAGCCAGAAGGAUCACAACAUUAGCUUGCGGCUUUUGUGAACCACCAGUGGACAAUUAGGAUCUGUUACAGAAACACAGCAAAGCAGAACACUUUGUUGUUUUUUGAGAACUGAACAGCAUUCGGUGCUCUCAGACGGUAUUUGAAACCUCGCACGCUGUGCGGAGGACAGAGCGCAGACUCUGUCAGCUGCACGUCCAGGUCGCAAAGGCGAGUUGUUUCUGCAGAGACCUGCUUCAGUGAGACACCAGAGGGCUCUCGUUGUGCUGGAAACUGCUUCAACUGUGAAAAAAACUGAAGCUGUCUCAGCCAAGAUCUUUAUUUGCCACCAUGAGUGUGAUUAUCGCUUCGAUUUUUUUUUCCAUGGUUUUGAGACGUUUUUGUUAGGGUCAGUUCUCAAACAGAGCAGGUGGAGGGAGGGGAUCCUUCCCCCAGACACGGCACCGGUGGGGCCACAGCGGGGGAUCGUGUCCAGAGCUGCGUUCAGCCUGGAGCAGGCUCAGUGGGGUCUUAUCCAUGUGGAUAGAUACCUGAAGGGAGGGUGCACGGGGGCGAGAGCCGGGCUCUGCUCGGCGGGGCCCAUUUACGGGAAGGAUGUUCCUCCAGCGCAGGGCAGGGGACAGCCGGGCACCGCACGGGCAGCGGGCUCUGCCACGCCACGCCUGGUCCCCAGCAGGAGCCAGUGCCUGGGGACCAGGGCCCGUCCUGGGGAUGCAGGUGCGUGCGGACAUCACCCACUCAUCCAGGCGUCUGGGUGACAAACCCCCAGGGUUCAGGCUGCUGAAACUAUCACACUUGUCUCAGUACCUGCUGUGCGAGAUCUGCACUGUCAAACAGUCCGUCUGUGACCUGCGGAGGUUAACGUGUCAAAUUAACAACCGAUGGAGCUGUUUACCUGUUGAGACCAAUACAGCUUGCUCCUAAGGGAGGGAGUGAAAUGCGAACUAAGUGCAACAGAGCAUCUUUGGAGAAGCAUGUACAAAACAUACUCACACCUGUCUACAAACAAUAGCAAGUAAUUGCUCAAAUCUACUUUGAAUGUUUCUGGUUUUACUGCUAUCGCAUUCUCUUCUCUAAUUCUGUUUAUAAUACCAACAGAAAAGGGGGAAAGUACUUUUUCAGCAGUCUGUCUACAUGCUAAAGAAAAUACUUUAUUUAAAGCUUUUGAAGCUCUAUCUUUUCCUUCUGAAGGAUUUGAUAAUGAAUUAUACAUUCCAGCACAACAUGAAAUAUUUAACUCAUGCUCUUCAAUUUGAGUUCAACUUCUCAAACAGAGGAAUGAGUUUGAGCCCAGAAAAGACAGGCUAUACAGAUAUGGAUCCACUAGUGCUUCCAACAGUUUUCCUUGCUCAGUGCCCAGAUCAAUAGGACUGAAGUCUCAGAAGGCUUCAGGUGGCCAGAGCUGUUCUAGGUGCCAUUCACUGAAUCACAAGAGAAACUUGCCUUCAGCAGAUGGAUGUGCAAAUAUGAAUUCAGGCUUGAUGCUCUGAAAGUACGCCUGCAGAUUUCUAAAGGCUUGGAGGAAAAUAUGCAAGGAAAGUGAAGUGCAAUAAUUGUUGCUCACACAAUGAAGCUACUCCCUUGUUUCAGAACUUCUCCAAGCCAGCAGGAGGGUCACAGCGCUGGCAAAGGGAGGACCCGAUCUCCGUGUCCCGGGCUGCUCGCUGGCACCGUGCUGCGGCUGUGCUGGGAUCUCCCUGCAGCUGAUUCACAGCAGACGCGAAUCGGGUCAGGAGCUGUACUUCAUUUAGGAGACGCAGAGCGCUGGUUGACCUGAGUGCUCCGCGCUGAUCCGGCGGAUCCGGUGCCCGGUCUGAGGGUGCGGACGCUGCUGCUGGUGUCUCGGGAGGGACGGUGGACGCGGGCGGGUGACCUGAAGUGUCCUGAUCUCCGAACCUGCUGCCACGUUGUCUUCCACUGUUGAGUCUUCUACAGCAAACUUGCUUGUGUAAAUGUGUGAUGGUAUCUCUGUUAUGUUUAUAUGGGAAUUGUACUUCCUCCUGGUGUCUGUGCCGUGAAUGUUUCACAUUUGAGAACCCCAAGAAGUCUCUAACCCAUAUAUUCCUUGGGCAGUACCGCAGGGCCUUUCUGAAUGUAAAUGUUUUCAUUCCAGCGCGUUAAUCUUGCACAAUACCCAGCUUUUGGAAGUCUGUGCCAGCAAAUUGGAUUUUAGUUUCCUGACAUAACAAAAGAGAUGUGAAAACCAAGAGAAACUGUUUCCAAACUUCUAAAGGGAUUUCUGCAGCAGAAAAAAGCUCACUUUUUAAAGUGGGAACUGGAUGAGCUUUUCCAGCUCUCUGAACGUUUGCACCUUGUCUUUCAGUUAUAUUUCUGUAAAUUGAAACACAAAAUGUUUCUCAAUGGCAUUGCAGCUGGGAUUAUCUAACUGAUAUGGAUAUGGGGUGCACAACAAUUUCUGCCUUUUUAGUACUUAUUCCAUCAUUGUCUCCACAGAAGUACAAAGACUUUUUGAGCACAGACAUGCAGAGGUAUUUUUCAUUUGCAUACCGUGCCUUUAGCAGCUGGCAGUAUACUUAGUUAAACAUUGAGUGUAUGGAAAAUAAAUGGCGCAUCGGUACUUUCAUACCUUAAUAUGCUUUUUAAAGAAACCGACCUUUUGAUAUCCAACAUGUACAAAGUAUUAGUUGCUACUUACUCCAUUGCUUUCUCUUCCUUCAUCCUGUGUAGAAUUUAAAUAUUCUAUUUUAUUUUUAUUUUUGGAGACAAGAGGUUUGAAUUUUACAGUUAUAAUUGCACUGUCACCUUCAGCUGUUAUUGCUUAUGCUGCACAGCAAUGUUAAGAUGACCUUUCUGCACCUGUGACCAAGUUUUCUAGUGUGACCAGCUCAGGUCACUGGGCUUGAGUUGGUGGCUCCUUUCAGUGUCCCCUCUGUAAGCAGUGUGGCGCCGGGGACAGGGCGGGCCGAGCCGCGAAGGGCAGCAGUAGCUACACAGGAGUCUGCUUUGCAGGGGGAGCGUCGCCGCGGCUCAGAGCUGCCCAGGGCUCGCACCAGGCACCGUGCCUGGAUCACAGCUGGCAACCGGCUGCUCUCUCCGUAGGACAAAGCCACCUUUUGGAACAAAGGGAACCACCGCGAGGGCAGCAAAAACCCCUUUGUUAGGACAGACUUCAGCAGUGAAGCUGCGAAGUGACCCAGCUUCACCUGUUGCAAGGGCCUGGGAAAGCAGGGGCUGGUUUGUCCGUCCUGGCCGGCGGCACGCAGGCGCUGUUCCGAGGCGGGGGUGUGCUCCGCACCCGCCGCUCUGCACCCGGCCGGCAGCGACGGCGGCGACCGGGGCAGCCGCUCCUCCUGCGGUCGGACGGCGCAGGUGGCCCUGGCUGUGCCCAGAGCAGAACCGGAGACCUGCGGGACGGAGAAAGCGUCAGCAGGUGGCACUGGUGACAUGCAGCAGAUUUUCUGCGUCUUUGCAAAGAAAGGGAAAAUACAGUCAGUUUGUGCAUUUUGGCACAAACGGGUGCCAGCAGCUCUGGGCUCAGCUGCUGGCACACAUGGCUCAGCUGGAGGCGAGGGCAGUGAGGAUGCUGGCAAGCGAUGGGGAGAUCCGACGUUCCCGGCGCUGGCAGCACUCCUGCCUCUGGCUGGGAGGGUCUGGGGCUGCCGGCGGGGGCCGUGGGGGCUGGAGAGCUGAGCCGGGUGCAUCACAAAGCCGGGCAUGCAGCUAAUUGCAACCUGGGCAAGCUUCCAAAGAUCAUCCUUGCUCAUGCUUUCCGCUUGUGAUUUACUCAGCAAGAAAAUCCACCCAUUCUGAAUGUCACUGGAGAAGUGAAUUGGCUUUAAUGCGAGGUCAGCUCAGUUUCUAAACAUGGUACUGGCUGGCUCAUCAGCCUGUGUGCAUCUUCUGCGAUCCCAUCCCUGUCUGUAGUUGUACCCCAUCCGCGUACGAUGGACCUCUGCUUCAGCAGAGCACAGCUUCAGGCCUAAAGUCAGCACACCACGAACUUUCCAAACCUCCGAUAAAUCUAGUGUGAAAACCCUAUUUCAAAUUGUUUGGACUUGAGAUGUGUUUCCCCAGGCAAAGUCAGCAUAUAGGUCAUUGGGAAAGGGACAACCUGCACUGAUAGUGCAGCAGGUUGGGACCUACUUGGGGGAACUGGAUUUGUACAAAUCUGGGGGCUGGCAGGGACUCACCAAGGGUGCCAAAAGGGUUAAUUGACGUGACUGGGAUCUGGUGUGUGUCACCUGUGAAAAAUUGUGGUGAUUAGGAGGGGACUGUGACUGGAAAAUAGUGAUAUGGCCCCAAUCUUUAAGAAGGGGAAGGAGGAGGACUCAGAGGGAUGGGCUGGUCAGCCUCACCUCAGUUCUGGAACAACCAUGGAGUGUGGCCCCUGGAAUCUGUUCCCAAACAAAGCACAAGAAAUCAAUUGGGACCAGUCAACAUGUUCCCCAAGGCAGGUGCUGCUUGGACAGCCUGAUGGCUUUCUAUGGCAGGAUGGGACUGCGGGGCAGGGGACAGCAGGGACCAGCGUGCUGGGGCCGAGCGAGGACAUCAGCACCAUGUCCCACCGCAGUCCCCGGCGGGAGCUGAGGACACACGCUCCGGGCUGGAUGGACCUGCUGUUGGGUGCGAUGGGAACGGACUGGGCUCACAGAGUGGCUGCCCAGCAGUGACUGGAGCUGACGCUGGAGCCAGCGGCGUUUCACAUCCUGGCAAGGGGGGUUGUUAUCUCCUCUGCUCAGAGCAGGCAAGGACACCUGGGGACCUGCGUCCAGUUUCAGGCUCCCAGUUCAAACGGGAUGUGGAGCUGCUGGAGCGGAGCCAGCAGAAGCUGCGAUGAUGGCGAGGUAUCCGGGGUCUGUAGCCAAGGCGGGAGCUGGAGGCUGGUUGAGCCUGGCUGGGGAGGCUGGCGGGAUGGUCUGACCGCUCCUGGGUCCACUGCCCACAGCAGCGGCUCCAGCAGGAGAGCUGGGCGGUGCUGGGUCAGGCGCUGGAGUCCCCGUCCCCGGAGCUGACGGCAGCUCUGCUCUGAGCAGCAGGGUAGGUCAGGGUCCCUUCCAGCCACAGUGUUUACGGUUCUGUGUAAUAUCCCAGGGAAAUUAGGAGAGAAUUGGUAGAUUGUCGUGUACUGAAACUACAAAUGCUUGUUUCCAUAUGUUCUGUGCUUCGAUCCAUAUUUUCUUUUUAAAGUUCACCUUGUGUAAUAAAUAGUUUAUAGAAUUUGUUACAAAAUAUUAUAUCAAUGUUAAGGAUAUACUAUAUGUCCAAAAUUUGUAUUUUAUUAUGAGAAUUUCUGUCCUAUUACUCCUAGAACAGACGUAAGAAGAAAGUUUGUGUCAAAUACAGAGUUAUUACUAAAUAUGUUGUUUACAGACAUUGAAGGCUCCUGGAAGACACUGAUGUAAUGACCCAGGAUUUAAAACAUGCACAUACCGUUUUUCAAGUGAAACUCAUAAGCCAGUUUCUCCUCUACAAAUGACAACAGGGUAUGUUCCCUGUGUAAUUCAGGCUUUGCUGAAAUGCGCAUGGUACUCCUAAGAACCUUCUACCAAUAAUGCCCAUGAGAGAAAACGGAUAAACCCUGGAAACAGGCUUUAGCUAAAAAUUACAGGACUAUUAGCAGGCUAGAAUCUUAUGUAUAAGUAGACCUAUCCAUCUUGCUCUUUGUAGAUUAAUGCAAUGCCUUUUAAGUCAACUGUUAAUACCUUAUUAAAAUAUUCACUGUUGUUUUGCUCACAUACUUUGGGGCAUUUGUGUCUCUCAUGUAACCAGUUCUUCCUCCAGGACUUGCAGAGCGCAUGGCAGUGGAGGUCUGCUGCUUUAACCCCGUUUUAUUGAAAUCCCGGCCCAGAAGGACGGUAUGACUUGUGCACAAAUCACUUGGCAGGUCAGAGACAGGGCCAGAGGGCUGCUCUCCCGAUCCCACUGCACUUUCAUCGCUGAACCAGAGUGCAGCACAAGGGACAAAAGGAUAGUAAAAUCUUUAGUGACAAGUCGACAGUACCGUCACGGAACAAACCAACCCCCUGCCCACGGUGCUGGACACCCACGCAGAGCUGCAGCGUGCCAGUCCCUUGCAAGCCUUUUGCCGGGACACCGGGCUCCGAGGUGUCCCUGGUGCCCAGAGACACGCGGUGCUGCCCACACCGUGCCCUUUCCAGCCGACAUGCCAGCGAGAGCUGGUGAGGAGCCGCGGGCUGCGCGGGGACGUGUCCCCAUGGAGGGCUGGGCAGGAGGACGCGCUGCGCAGCAGAGCCCGAGGGUCCUGCUGGAUCUGCACCAGGGACAGUAAUGUUGGCAGAAAUAGUUGUAGAAAGAAUUUUUAAUGUGCAUAAAAUUGAGACUAUUUUAAGACUAGAAAUCAGAGACUCUCUGUGUUCAUGAUUUCAUUCCCAUGAGCACCCCUCUGCUUAUAAAUACCUCCUAUUUGCAUUGAAUUGUUUAUUGUUAAUAGCUUUGGUGUUUAGAAGGUACAAAUAACAUAUCCCCUGGGGAAAGGAAAUGUCUUUCCUGACAUAUAAAAUAUCUACUUUGUCUACUUUUGAACUAAGGAGAAGUACUUUAAGAACUAUUAUGUAGUUUUUAACAUCUAAUAGGAGCUAAUGGUCUGACCUGCAAUACCGCUGUCCGGCUGGUCCCUCUGUCCGGAGCGCAGGUUUGGGAGGGUGCCGCCCGCACGCGCAGCGCUGGCCUGGAGCUGGUGCCCGAGGGCAGAGCAGCGCCGGGGCCGCGGGGCAGCGCCCGGAGCUGCCGGCUGCCUGGAGGCUGCAGCUGCUCGUGCACAGCGUGCGGGAGCCGGGUCUGUCUUCUGGGGGGGGUGUUUGUAAGUUCUGCGGACUCCAGCUAAGCAGCAUCACUUGGCCUUGUUCAGUGAGGAUUUACAGGUACUGGCACCAGGACAUUGCCUAUAUGGCAAUGAACCAGUUUCAAUAAACCAGUUUUCUGCUGUUGUCUGUUGGUUUAGACCGCAGUAUUAAAUGAAGAAAUCACCUAAUAAAUUCAUUUAUUAAUGCCUUCAAAAUCUAAUAAAGAAAUAUGUCAGGCAUUAAUUUACCUGGAAAGAUAAUCAGAGAGACCCUUCGACUGGAGCAGGCAGUCUGGGCAGCGUCUUUAAAGUUAAUAAAGCAAGAAGCUAAGAGUCUGUACAGCUUCAGUCUCUGUUAGCAUCUCUUUGCUGGCAGCAUGCAGCAAGAGGCAGCAAAAGAAUACUGAAUUGCUCCAAAAGUACCCCAGUCCUCAGCAAAGGAAAACUCCCCGUGGCAGGAGGAUUUGUCACGGCCCCGGUAAGGCAGGAUGGAGCUGGGACCCACCUCCCCCGGGUCAGAGACGCUUCCGAGCUGUGGGUCACGUCGGGUGGAGCAUCGUGCUGCAUGGAGACGGCGAUGGGAUCGGCGAGCGCUGCAGGAUCGGCGGCUGCACGGCGGGCCCGGACCUCUCCGGCCUCAGGGAUUCACUAAUUAGACACUGAGGAACAACCCUUCUGAGGUUUGUAAAACAUUCACGUUGUCUGAGCUACCGGAAGCCGCAUGUUCUGCUCUUGCAGCAAGACUGAGCAGCACCGCACCUUCGCUUUGAGCCUUUUCACUCUGGUGCUGCUCUCUGUGCAUCCAGAUCCGUGGCCCCUAGUGUUCGCCUUGCAGAAGCAGAUUUUCCAGAGGUGCAGUGGUGUCUUCAUGAGUAAAGAUUCCUGAGUUGUUUUAGAUGUGGGGCACACCAUCAUUAAACCACGGUAAAGUAUCUUGGAUUGUAGGAUUAUGCGUUCAGUCUUUUCCUGGAAUUGUAUUCACAUUUAUUUAAAGGUGAAUUUUCACUUAAAGUAAUUCUUGCUCUGCAGAAAUCAGUGGAGUUAAACCCAGUGAGAAGUAGAUGUUUUCUGGCUUUUUCCUUCACUCUCGGUUUUAGGGGUCCAGCGAGGACGGGCGCUGGUGUUGGGAGGUUCUGCCACCUGCGCUGCCCACUGCACUUUGGUUACUGCUAUAACUACCGACUCGAUCU
Molecule: long non-coding RNA, 8540 nt
Organism: Columba livia (rock pigeon)
Lineage: Eukaryota; Metazoa; Chordata; Aves; Columbiformes; Columbidae
Exons: 3
Source: RefSeq, a predicted model, not a curated record